This 403-nucleotide ribosomal RNA is filed under the name uncultured bacterium. Its description in RNAcentral is "bacterial SSU rRNA". It matches the Rfam family "Bacterial small subunit ribosomal RNA", at positions 355 to 774 of the family's 1533-position model. The record is from RNAcentral.
UGAGGGAUAUUGGUCAAUGGGCGCAAGCCUGAACCAGCGACGCCGCGUGGGUGAAGAAGGUCUUCGGAUCGUAAAGCCCUUUUCCCACUGAAGAGGAAGGACGGUAGGUGGGGAAGAAGUCUCGGCUAACUACGUGCCAGCAGCCGCGGUAAAACGUAGGAGACAAGCGUUAUCCGGAGUUACUGGGCGUAAAGGGCGUGCAGGUGGCGUCUUAAGUCUGUUGUGAAAGCGCCUGGCUUAACCGGGCGGGGCCAAUGGAGACUGAGAGGCUGGAGGACGGCGGAGGGGUGUGGAAUUCCGGGUGUAGUGGUGAAAUGCGUAGAGAUCCGGAGGAACACCAGAGGCGAAGGCGGCACUCUAAGCCGUACCUGACACUGAGACGCGACAGCACGGGGAGCAAACG